UUUGCAUAAUUACACACUUUAAAAUCAUGCAUUAUUAACUUUAAAGAUUAUUUUUGCUGCUUGAGGUUGAAAAAAAAAUUGAUAAUCAUAACAAUUGUACAUAAAUAAUGUUUAGUAGGUGUGAACAUUAAGUACGAAAUGAACUGGGUACGAAUAUCACUCAUGUGGUUUUACUUGGUUUUUAUCGUAAAUCACUUAUCAAUACGGAAGGCUCCAAGGCAUGCAUUACUGUUUAAGUGUUUUUAGAGGAAAUUUUCAGUGUUAAAUUUGGAAUUUAUCAGUCAUGAAUUGGAAAAUUUGCUGUCUAUUUUCUAUUGGUAACGGUGCCGUUUUUCCGGUAUCAGUUAUAUAAGGAAAAACACUGGGUUGUUGUUAAGAUUUUAGUCAUUGACUAGAUUUCUACCAGAAUUUUUUUGUUUUUACUCUUCUUGUGCAAGUUGUGGUUAUAGAGUGUGAUGAACAUAUUGACUCUUACUUUGUAAAACGUUCAGAUACAAAGACAGUUGCUAAAAAAUAUCAAGAUCUCAAGUUUGUUUUGCCCCUGUCUUGCAUAUCUGUAAUGGAAGAACAGUUAUUAUGGAUAAAUAAAGGUACUUCAAUAAAAUGUAAUUUUGGGUACUGUCAGAUCUACAUGUUACGCUACAAGUUUCUUCUCGUAAUUACAUAUUUAAGAACUAGUAUGGCUAAUGAGUACAAAAUUUUGGAGGUACUACACUACAAGACAGAAGAGAAUAUCUGUCCUUGCAAGCAGUCUUGAAGACCUUCUGAAGAAAUCUGGUGACAAGCAACAGUUGCAAGGAGGAAGUUUGAUUGUUGUGCUGGAAAAAGAUGUGACAGAAAUGGAAGAAAACGCCAUCCUUGACAUAUUCAAAACUAAGUAUUGAUGCUUCUAGAAGACCAACAAUUAUGAGAACCAGAUAUUCCAAAAGACACUGUUGUAAUGUUUGGGCAGACACCCAAGAUGCCAACAUAUCAAAGACUGAGACAGAGUCCACAACUGUUACCACAGCGACAGAAAUUGUAACACCAUCUUAUGUUGUUUGAAAUUAAAUUAAUUCUUGCAGUAGGCCACAUCCAACCAUUUGUUCAGUUGACAAUCUACAUAUAUUGUUUGAAGCAGUAGCUACACUUAAACCUGGAGGAAAAGAGUGCAAAGAUGAUUUGGACGUUAUAAGAGCCAUAGAAAGUAAUACAGGAUUCAAACAUGGAAAGGGGUGCAAGACUAGAUAAAUUGUAGUUCUACAUAAGGAUAUUGAAGAAGCUAAUCUGUCAAAGGUCCUGUCAUCUGACAUCACAGCCUAAUACUCCUCCAAGUUGAAGCUUUGUUUUUUAUUUUUAACAACAUAGAAUUGGACAAACAGUAUAUUGUUGGAGACCGGUGCAAGAUUCUACUUGAGACAGAUAGCCUCAUGGAAGGGCUAUUCUUAUUAAUAAACUGGUAUUAUAUAAUGGAUCUAGAAAACCCUACUGCUUUUCACAACUCCUUGGAUUCAUUCAACAAACAGUAUUUAAACAAGCCUUUCUUAGUCACAAGUCGGCUGGGUAUUAACACUUUGUGGAAAAAAAUUGGAAAAACUAAUGAACAAAUAGAACCAACAUUUUAAAUUAAAUUCAACCUUCUGUGUCAUGGACAUAUUAUUGACUUCUU
Ruditapes philippinarum (Manila clam) is the source of this 1648-nucleotide long non-coding RNA. RefSeq lists it as uncharacterized. The transcript has 5 exons. Lineage: Eukaryota; Metazoa; Mollusca; Bivalvia; Venerida; Veneridae. The record is from RefSeq and is a predicted model, not a curated record.